Long non-coding RNA from Monopterus albus (swamp eel), 3053 nucleotides. RefSeq lists it as uncharacterized. Lineage: Eukaryota; Metazoa; Chordata; Actinopteri; Synbranchiformes; Synbranchidae. The record is from RefSeq and is a predicted model, not a curated record. The transcript has 2 exons.
ACAAGAAAGGGUUUAUGUAGGACUGAGUCCCAGAGUAAAAAUCUCUUAAGCCAAAUGAGGGAGAAGGUAGAGUUUAGGUGUGUGGAGAAAUAUAUUUAUUAACUCAGUAAAGAAAAUACCCUUUAUUUUUCAUCAAAGAUUGAAGCUAAAUUAGUCCACACCCUGGUUCUACUUUAACAAUGACAUGAAAUUAACAUCAUGCAUUUUAUAUAUAGUUAUAAUACUAUUACUAUUGUCCAUCAUUGCAAAUUCAGUGAAUAAUUUUUAAACUAUAUGUUGAAUAUUAAAUUAAAGGGAUGUGACAAACGGUGCCAGUAACUUCAGGUUAAAGAGAACAGGUGACAUAUGCAAUUGGCAGGUUCGUUCGUUUGUAUCUCGCACGCUGAACGUGUUUUCAACAAGGUCAUCAGGGUCUGUGAACGCCCCCCCCACCCCAAUCCAGUGACACUUUUUAGAUGCAAGUCUCAUGUGUCAUUAUCUGUUUCUUCAAACACACACACACAGGCAGCUUGUAGCACAUCCAGGGCUUGUCCAGGAUUGUAUGUCAGAGCCCCAAACCUAGUCACAUCUCGUCUGUUUGGUUUUGUUUGUUUUUUUUUUUUUGUUUUUUAGUCCAGACAGUCUCACUACUGUGAAUGUAACCUCGUGAUUCAGCUACUUAAUUGAUACAUGUGGGGUCUCGGUUCUCUGAACGUUUUUAAAGAGGAGUGAGUAAUAUCUUCACUAAAGUUGCAGUUAAGAAGCCAUUUCUAUUUAAAGCCUGUGAUUUGAUGCGUCCAGUUUAUUUCACGUCUUAUAUUACCCCAGCCGUUCAUUGCAGCAUUUUUUGGUUUUAAAUUCCACAGCUAAUGAAGGAGCCAUAAGGCUGAAAGGCGUUCCAGCUGCGCAUAUGUAAGCACUGAAUGUCGUCAAAACUCAUUUAUGAAAUGGCAUUUUCCUCUUGAUUACAUUAAUUCUGUAGCAGAGAGAAAGUUAAACCUGACCAAAAGGGUUAUUAUCCCCUAAGAAAAAUUCAAUGCACAUUCCCACAGAAGAUCUGACGACACAUCCUGCAAACCUUCACUAGACAUCGAUCAAAGGGUAAUUGUGCUGCUUUGUUUUUAUAAUUCAUAAAGAAAUGUUGGUGGGGAAUUAUGUCUGCUGUGUGCAAAUAGUAUUCCUCUCAGAGAAAGUUAGUGGCUUAUUCAUAAUGUCACGCCUCUGCUCCCAGAAGAUGCUUCGAAAGAGUUUGUUGUUGUUAUUUCUAGCCAGGAAGGCAAAACUGAUUGAUUCAGCAAACUAUAAACUGCAACUACGCAUUUGCUUAUUACUAUAGUUUGUUGUUUUGCAUUAUUUUAUAGUCAGUUUGUGUAUUAAUGCAUCUGUCAGGUCAGGCAACACUGAAGCAGAGUCUGCUGGUUCAGUAAUCAUACUUUGGAAAGGUGUAAGCAGUCCCAAAUUAGCCAUAGUUCUCUCUCCGUCUGCCUCAGGGUUGCAUGUGAAUGUCUGUUAGAAGUUGCAAAGACAGCUCUUUCUAUUAAAUCCCCUCUUAUUCAAAUAGUUAACACAGACCAUGCUACCAGCUACUGUGCUUUCAACCUUUAACAAUAACUGGAGGCUCUUUUCUGAUUGUCACAUAGUGGGAAUGUACAUUUAUGUUUCGUUUGGGGGGUCACCUCUCUUUCUUUAGUUUCCUUUUUCUGCUUCACAAAUUUUAGAAGUUUUUUUUUUUUUAGAAUGGCAUCUCAGCAUCUGUUAACUCCUUCAGCUUUUUUAUUAAACACCACUUUUUACAAACCCCUGUGCUAUUUGAUAUAGAGGUGCCAAGAAAUACACGCACCUUGAUUUGUUUGAUUUUAUGAAACCCUUGGAUCACAAGCCUCUUUCAAAUAAAUCAUCAUCACAUGGAAUAUGUAAAUACUUUUUCUAUACCAGCCAUGUGCUGUCACUUUGCAUACUGUAUAUCAGCAGAAUUGGUAACCAAAGUUUUUUGAGUAUCAUUUGAGGCCACUACAUUCUCAUACUGUAUCCGUCCAAACAUUGGUUCAGCUUGGUUUUACUUACAGCUAAUAUAAGUCUGGGUUGCUGUCUCUUCUAACCUGCUGAUCACGACUUUAUCUCAAGUUCCUCGCUUUUGUCUUUGAGGUGGAGUCAAUCACUACUGCUUAAUCGAAUCACUACACUGGGACUGUGUGCUUAUUGGAGAACGAGGACAUCAGCUCUUGGACACUGACAAGCCAGUGUUGACACAGCAUGUUUGGAAGAGCCAUGGCAGUUGUACAGUCAGACUGUGUGAAAUUUUAUCACCCCUGUCAUUGUCUUGGAGGUGUUGUCUAAGCACAUUUCAGUAAUGUAACUCACCAGCCGCCAGGAUGUUCAGCAUCUAACUUGUCCAGCAAACCUGCGAAUACCGUGUGCGUGUGUCUGUGUGCGAGAUGAUGGCAGUUCCCUUCAUGAUGAAGCCUGGGCCUGAUAGUUCUGUGUAAGACAGGUGUCAGUAACAUUUAUGCUUUGCUCAAGGGUCUAUAAUUUCACCCCGUGUUAUGGGGGAAAAUUGUUACAUCUCACCACUGUACUUUGUGUCACUCAUUACUGUUCAGUGUCAAGGAUGUGUUUGUGCGCGUGUGUGAGACAGACCGGGUGUGUGCAUACCGCCCUGUCUGACCAAACAGUUUUCUUUUUGAACUAAGAAUACUAGUUGUACUUGUGAAUGGUUUUUCUAUUAAGUUCCUAGAUUCAAUGUUCCUUGCCUUUCUGCAAGUAAAAAAUGCUGUAUUUAUUACAUGCCACAGCGUUUAUGCAAUUGUAUAAUCCUUUUUUUUUUUUUUGUGUGUUCCUUAUCGUCAAUGUAAAUUGUUGUCAACAUUUUUGUGGCGAUGGAAAAACUUCUGCUAAGGGAGGUUUUCUGUACUUUUUGGACAAUGAUAUGGAUUUGUGGGUAGAAUUUUGGAAAUUCGUUUCUAAGUGCUUUCAAGUAUUUACUUGGCCUUAUGUAAAUAUCUAUAUGACAUUUCAGAAAGGUAUGUAUAGUAAUUCAACCUGAAAUUGUUGUAAAUAAAUUAUAUAUUGUUAAA